GCGUGUCCUCCUGAGCCAGGCACCUCAUAGAAUCUUCUUGCCUGUUCAGCAAGGCCUUCCAACCCUCCAUCCAUUUCUCCCUCAGGUCAGGACAGCAGGGUGACAGUGCCUGGAGAAGGCCCUGGCUCCCCUGAAAGCCCUCCCGGCCUGUCUCUGACCUGCACUGGAAGCGGGGGUCUCCGGGGUGGGUCUUCAGCACCUGCCACACCUCUGGGGGAGGCUCCAAGCCCAUCUGCUUGGCCCGACACCAGCGCUGCAGCCGUGUGAUCCCUGCCAGGGUGGGAAGAAGACUCUGGAGACUUGUGGGGGGUGGGGUAGAGUCUGAGCUGGAGAAUGUGUGUGUUGGGGGGAGACAGUUCCUGAGGGUCAGAGUCACGCAAGCGCUUGGGUGACUUCAGAGACGUGUGGGUGACUGGCUGGGAGAGGCGCCUCCGUGGGGCUGGGUGGGUUCUCACCGGUGCAGGGCCCGUACUGCCAGGCCAGGUCAAACUGCCUCAGCAGCUCCAGCUCCGCUUCCUCCUCGUCGCGGGGCUGGGGCUCCUCCCCUGCAAUGACAGCUGCUCUUCAGUACGAGGUUGGCUUCAGUCUCCUGCCCCUCACCUCCCAGCCUUCCUCACCACCGCUUUGCCUCUGCCACCCCGCAGCUAGACCUGGUGUCGGGAGGGGAGGACAGGCCACCUUUCCCUUUCCAUCGGCCCCUCCGCCCCUCUAGGGGCCUCCUCUAGGCCCCUCCGUGUCCACUCCUCCUGCCUCCCUCACACCUCAGAGACCUAGCUCGGGUGCCAGCUCCCCCUUGCUGUGCCCAGCGGGCCCCUCCCUCCUCUUCACAACCGGGUAGGAAUCAGUGAUGAGCCGCUUCCGGCCCAUGGCGGCCACCCAGGCAGGCAGAGAAGGAGGCAACUGCGGGGAAGAGGAGAGACCGGCCAGUGGGCGCGAGAAAGACAGCUGCUGAGAGAGACAGACGGGGCCAGGCCAGCGGCGGGCAGACAAGAUGACCCAGACAAACCGAGAGAGGAAGUCGCCGGGGUCCAGGGAGGGACGCCUCCCCCACCCCCAAAAGCACGCAAACAGGAAAGACUUCAGCCAAUGGCAGGCCGCCUAUGCGGGGCGGGGCCCUGGCGCUAGCCAAUGGCAAAUGUUCUUUUCAGCUUCGCUAAUCCCCGUGGCCAGUUUGUAACUCCCUAGAGUCCAGCUGGAGCCUUCACUCGGUCCUUUGGCCCGCCCCGCCUUGUGGGGGCAGGUCUGGAGGUCUGAAGAGAGUUUGGGCUAAUCCAGG
This 1276-nucleotide long non-coding RNA is filed under the name Homo sapiens (human). RNAcentral's name for it is "long non-coding RNA NONHSAT022407.2". Lineage: Eukaryota; Metazoa; Chordata; Mammalia; Primates; Hominidae. The record is from RNAcentral.